UUUGAUAGCUAGUGUUUGUAGGCUCCGUGCUCGCGCAUCAAACUACAUACCACCUAUCCUUCUCAGUUGCUUCGCGAGCAAAAUUAAGCUCGUUGACGAGAUCUGGGGCUUGUGUUGCGUACCUAACUAGAAGGAAUUGUUGAGUUUGGCUUCACACGUUGUUCAUGGCAUCUCCCUCAACGGGGGAAGUCGUGAACACAAUAAUCGGCUCUUGUGAUCCUUGCGUCCUGGCACCAAAAAUGCUGUGUUCGCAAAGGUGGACAAGAUGUCGGUUGAAAUCUCGGAUGCGGAAAGAUUAUGGACGGUGACUAGAAGUUAUUUUGUUCCUCCAAAGCACGUUUGUCCUCGGUC
Molecule: unclassified non-coding RNA, 351 nt
Filed under: Eutrema edwardsii
Lineage: Eukaryota; Viridiplantae; Streptophyta; Magnoliopsida; Brassicales; Brassicaceae
Description: partial external transcribed spacer
Source: RNAcentral